AUACGUAGGGGGCGAGCGUUGUCCGGAAUGAUUGGGCGUAAAGGGCGCGUAGGCGGCCCGGUAAGUCUGGAGUGAAAGUCCUGCUUUUAAGGUGGGAAUUGCUUUGGAUACUGUCGGGCUUGAGUGCAGGAGAGGUAAGUGGAAUUCCCAGUGUAGCGGUGAAAUGCGUAGAGAUUGGGAGGAACACCAGUGGCGAAGGCGGCUUACUGGACUGUAACUGACGCUGAGGCGCGAAAAUGUGGGGUGCAAACAGGAUUAGAUACCCUGGUAGUCCACACUGUAAACGAUGAAUGCUAGGUGUAGGGGGUAUCGACCCCUUCUGUGCCGCAGUUAACACAAUAAGCAUUCCGCCUGGGGAGUACGGCCGCAAGGUUGAAACUCAAAUGAAUUGGCGGGG
This 397-nucleotide ribosomal RNA is filed under the name uncultured bacterium. RNAcentral's name for it is "partial 16S ribosomal RNA". It matches the Rfam family "Bacterial small subunit ribosomal RNA", at positions 523 to 918 of the family's 1533-position model. The record is from RNAcentral.